Molecule: ribosomal RNA, 158 nt
Filed under: Trichoderma koningiopsis
Lineage: Eukaryota; Fungi; Ascomycota; Sordariomycetes; Hypocreales; Hypocreaceae
Description: 5.8S ribosomal RNA
Rfam family: 5.8S ribosomal RNA
About the family: 5.8S ribosomal RNA (5.8S rRNA) is a component of the large subunit of the eukaryotic ribosome. It is transcribed by RNA polymerase I as part of the 45S precursor that also contains 18S and 28S rRNA.
Source: RNAcentral
AAACUUUCAACAACGGAUCUCUUGGUUCUGGCAUCGAUGAAGAACGCAGCGAAAUGCGAUAAGUAAUGUGAAUUGCAGAAUUCAGUGAAUCAUCGAAUCUUUGAACGCACAUUGCGCCCGCCAGUAUUCUGGCGGCUUUCCUGUCCGAGCGUCAUUUC